GUAGGUGGCAAGCGUUGUCCGGAAUUAUUGGGCGUAAAGCGCGCGCAGGUGGUUCUUUAAGUCUGAUGUGAAAGCCCCCGGCUCAACCGGGGAGGGUCAUUGGAAACUGGGGAACUUGAGUGCAGGAGAGGAAAGUGGAAUUCCACGUGUAGCGGUGAAAUGCGUAGAUAUGUGGAGGAACACCAGUGGCGAAGGCGACUUUCUGGCCUGUAACUGACACUGAGGCGCGAAAGCGUGGGGAGCAAACAGGGAUUAGAUACCCUGGUAGUCCACGCCGUAAACGAUGAGUGCUAAGUGUUGGGGGGGUUUCCGCCCCGUCAGUGCUGCAGCUAACGCAUUAAGCACUCCGCCUGGGGUAGUACGGUCGCAAGACUG
Molecule: ribosomal RNA, 375 nt
Filed under: uncultured organism
Description: partial 16S ribosomal RNA
Rfam family: Bacterial small subunit ribosomal RNA
Source: RNAcentral